UACGUAGGGGGCAAGCGUUGUCCGGAGUUACUGGGCUUAAAGGGCGCGUAGGCGGUUUUAUAAGUCAGUGGUGAAAUACAACAGCUUAACUGUUGAGGUGCCAUUGAUACUGUAAGACUUGAGUACAGACGAGGUAGGCGGAAUUGACGGUGUAGCGGUGAAAUGCUUAGAUAUCGUCAAGAACACCGAUAGCGAAGGCAGCUUACUAGACUGUAACUGACGCUGAGGCACGAAAGUGUGGGGAUCAAACAGG
RNAcentral lists this ribosomal RNA (253 nucleotides) under uncultured bacterium. RNAcentral describes it as "partial 16S ribosomal RNA". It matches the Rfam family "Bacterial small subunit ribosomal RNA", at positions 524 to 776 of the family's 1533-position model. The record is from RNAcentral.